Molecule: ribosomal RNA, 1216 nt
Filed under: metagenome
Description: SSU rRNA
Rfam family: Eukaryotic small subunit ribosomal RNA
Source: RNAcentral
UUCACGGUAUUGCAAUGAGAACAAUUUAAAACCCUUAGCGAGAAUCAAGUGGAGGACAAGUCUGGUGCCAGCACCCGCGGUAAUUCCAGCUCCACUAGCGUAUAUUAAAGUUGUUGCAGUUAAAAAGCUCGUAGUUGAACCUCUGUCUGGGGCUAGUUUUGGCUUUGGUCAGGCUAGUUCUAGGCAUCCGCCUACAAGACUUAGAGGGCAUUCAGUUGUUCACUAGGGGGAGUAGGCAUUUUACUUUGAAAAAAUUAGAGUGUUUAGGGCAGGCAAUCGCCCGCAUAUAUUAGCAUGGAAUAAUAGAAUAGGACACUUUUCCAUUUCGUUGGUUAUUGGAAUCGUGUGAUGAUUAAUAGGGACAGUUGUGGGCAUUUGUAUUUAAUUGUCAGAGGUGAAAUUCUUGGAUUUAUUAAAGACAAACUAACGCGAAAGCAUUUGCCAAGGAUGUUUUCAUUAAUCAAGAACGAAAGUUAGGGGAUCAAAGACGAUCAGAUACCGUCCUAGUCUUAACUAUAAACUAUUCCGACUCAAUGUUUGACUGGCUUAUAUAACCAGUUGAGCGUUGUAUGAGAAAUCAAAGUCUUUAGGUUCUGGGGGGAGUAUGGUUGCAAAGCUGAAACUUAAAGGAAUUGACGGAAGAGCACAACCAGGAGUGGAUUCUGCGGCUUAAUUUGACUCAACACGGGGAAACUUACCAGGUUAAAACAAUAGUGGGAUUGACAGUUUGAGAGCGCUUUCUUGAUUGGUUGGGUGGUGGUGCAUGGCCGUUCUUAGUUGGUGGAGUGAUUUGUCUGCUUAAUUGCGUUAACGAACGAGACCUUAACCUGCUUACUAGACUGGCGAUCAUCAAUCGUUAGCUCUUCUUAGAGGGACUUUGGUUGUUUUAACUCCAAGGAAGUUUGAGGCAAUAACAGGUCUGUGAUGCCCUUAGAUACCCUGGGCCGCACGCGUCAUACAAUGACUAGUUCAGAAAGUUUUCUCCUGACCCGAAAGGGGAUGGGUAAUCUUGAUAAUACUAGUCGUGUUAGGGAUCGAUCUUUGCAAUUAUAGAUCUUGAACGAGGAAUUCCUAGUAAGUGCGGUUCAUCAGACCGUACUGAUUACGUCCCUGCUCUUUGUACACACCGCCCGUCGCUUCUACCGAGUGGGUGGUCCGGUGAGAUAAUUGAACUUCGCAGGUAACUGAGAGGAAAGAUUAUCAAACCUAUCCACCU